Pteropus vampyrus (large flying fox) is the source of this 71-nucleotide small nucleolar RNA. Ensembl annotates it as small nucleolar RNA, C/D box 49B. The record is from Ensembl. NCBI's taxonomy places the organism in Eukaryota, Metazoa, Chordata, Mammalia, Chiroptera, Pteropodidae.
UGUCCUGAUGAUACUAAUAUUAGGAAGUGCCGUCAGAUGCGAUAACUGACGAUUUUUAUGCCUAUCUGAGU